CGCGGUAUGGUGCAGGGGUAUUUACGACAUUCUAUUAUUAUUAUAUAUACCGCUUGUAACACUGAAACCCUAAUUCAUUCUUUCAUCUAAUAGAAACGAGCUGUAGCGAAUUCUGCAGCCGGAGACGUACCUAAAGGGAACUCCGUUAUCAAACUUCUUGUGUUCUUAUUGUUUGCAAUUUCGUUAUUAUUACCUUCUGUUACUAUUUGUGCACAACA
RNAcentral lists this long non-coding RNA (218 nucleotides) under Trifolium pratense (red clover). Its description in RNAcentral is "long non-coding RNA (TPRA_LNC011171)". Lineage: Eukaryota; Viridiplantae; Streptophyta; Magnoliopsida; Fabales; Fabaceae. The record is from RNAcentral.